This 675-nucleotide ribosomal RNA is filed under the name Hypsoblennius hentz (feather blenny). Its description in RNAcentral is "partial small subunit ribosomal RNA". It matches the Rfam family "Bacterial small subunit ribosomal RNA", at positions 512 to 1502 of the family's 1533-position model. Lineage: Eukaryota; Metazoa; Chordata; Actinopteri; Blenniiformes; Blenniidae. The record is from RNAcentral.
CCACCGCGGUUAUACGAGGGGCCCAAGCUGACAACACCUCGGCGUAAAGAGUGGUUAAAAGAAUAACAAACUAAAGCCGAAUGCUCUCUAUGCUGUUAUACGCUCUCGAGAGCUAGAAGCUCUAUCACGAAAGUAGCUUUAUAGUAUUGAAUCCACGAAAGCUAAGAAACAAACUGGGAUUAGAUACCCCACUAUGCUUAGCCUUAAACUUAGAUAAUAGAUUACCUAAAUUAUCCGCCUGGGGACUACGAGCACUAGCUUAAAACCCAAAGGACUUGGCGGUGCUUAAUAACCCCCUAGAGGAGCCUGUUCUAGAACCGAUAACCCUCGUUAAACCUCACCCUUUCUCGUCUAUUCCGCCUAUAUACCGCCGUCGUCAGCUUACCCUGUGAAGGCCUUUUAGUAAGCAUAAUUAGUACAAACCCAAAACGUCAGGUCGAGGUGUAGCAUACGAAAGGGGAAGAAAUGGGCUACAUUUCCUGAAAUCAGGAUAUACGAAUAAUGUUUUGAAAAAGGCACUAGAAGGAGGAUUUAGAAGUAAGAAGGGAAUAGAGUGCCCUACUGAAAUUGGCCCUUAAGCGCGCACACACCGCCCGUCACUCUCCCUAAGAAAAACAAUAAUAUAAUUAAUUAACUAUAAUAACAAAGGGGAGGCAAGUCGUAACAUGGUAAGUG